RNAcentral lists this transfer RNA (72 nucleotides) under Candidatus Woesearchaeota archaeon. RNAcentral's name for it is "tRNA-Gly". It matches the Rfam family "tRNA". From Rfam's summary of the family: Transfer RNA (tRNA) molecules are approximately 80 nucleotides in length. Their secondary structure includes four short double-helical elements and three loops (D, anti-codon, and T loops). Further hydrogen bonds mediate the characteristic L-shaped molecular structure. tRNAs have two regions of fundamental functional importance: the anti-codon, which is responsible for specific mRNA codon recognition, and the 3' end, to which the tRNAs corresponding amino acid is attached (by aminoacyl-tRNA synthetases). tRNAs cope with the degeneracy of the genetic code in two manners: having more than one tRNA (with a specific anti-codon) for a particular amino acid; and 'wobble' base-pairing, i.e. permitting non-standard base-pairing at the 3rd anti-codon position. The record is from RNAcentral. Lineage: Archaea; Nanobdellati; Candidatus Woesearchaeota.
GCGUGGGUAGUAUAGUGGUUAGUAUACGGCGUUGCCAACGCUGUGACCCGGGUUCAAGUCCCGGCCUGCGCA